This 107-nucleotide ribosomal RNA is filed under the name Peromyscus maniculatus bairdii (prairie deer mouse). Lineage: Eukaryota; Metazoa; Chordata; Mammalia; Rodentia; Cricetidae. The record is from RNAcentral.
CUCCUCCUCAAUACCAUCUUGAAAGCAUUGGAUCUCCUCGAAUCUUGGAAGCUAAGCAGUGUCGAGCCUAGUUAGUGGAUCUCCUCGAGUCUUGGAAGCUAAGCAGU